UCCGCUGAUAGGACACACACUAAGUAAGCCAAAGCUCCACCGCCAGACGAGUGCAGCACUGAAGGUUAGAUCCUUGGAGGGUGUGGUGGGAAGGGGUGUGGUUGCAUCUUUCUCGAGACCCAGUCAGUUGGGAAGGACAAUGACAUCACCUACUGAAUCCUUGCAGUUUCCUAUUUCCAUGUCCUGUUCCCCCAGCCCUCAGAGGUGGAAACAUCUCCAUCCUGCCUCUCCCCACCAUGGGCUCCAUGCUACUCUGCUGUGUGGCCUUUUGUCUCCUGGGAACAGGCUCCAUGGAUACUGGUGUGACUCAGACCCCACGGAAUAGGAUCACAAACACAGGAAACAGUGUUUUACUGGAAUGUUCUCAGACUAAGGGUCACGAUUAUAUGUACUGGUAUCGACAAGACCCAGGACUAGGGCUCCGGCUGAUCUACUCCUCCUACAAUGUCAAUGAUACCAACAAAGGAGAGCUCUCCAAUGGCUACAGGGUCUCUCGUAUGGAGAAGGAGAAGUUCUUCUUGUUCCUGGAGACUCCCGUCCCCAGCCAGACAGCCCUUUACCUCUGUGCCAGCAGUUAUUUGCACAGUGCUUCCUGCCCACCUGUGCUCUGCACAGGAAGACCAGCACAUUUGCUCAGGAGGGCUCAGAAGUCUUCCUGGAUGCAAGAUGUAGGAUCCUUCAAGGUCAUUCUGUGCCUGGGUGAGCCUCCAUCUGAACUCAGGGCCACCUUGGGUUAGG
This is a non-coding RNA of Vicugna pacos (alpaca), 738 nucleotides long. The record is from the annotation of a RefSeq genome assembly. NCBI's taxonomy places the organism in Eukaryota, Metazoa, Chordata, Mammalia, Artiodactyla, Camelidae.